RNAcentral lists this ribosomal RNA (447 nucleotides) under uncultured bacterium. RNAcentral's name for it is "bacterial SSU rRNA". It matches the Rfam family "Bacterial small subunit ribosomal RNA", at positions 355 to 825 of the family's 1533-position model. The record is from RNAcentral.
UGGGGAAUAUUGGACAAUGGGCGCAAGCCUGAUCCAGCCAUGCCGCGUGAGUGAUGAAGGUCUUCGGAUUGUAAAACUCUUUCGCCGGGGAAGAUAAUGACGGUACCCGGAGAAGAAGCUCCGGCUAACUUCGUGCCAGCAGCCGCGGUAAUACGAAGGGAGCUAGCGUUGUUCGGAAUUACUGGGCGUAAAGCGCACGUAGGCGGAUUUUUAAGUCAGGGGUGAAAUCCCAAGGCUCAACCUUGGAACUGCCUUUGAUACUGGAAGUCUUGAGAUCGGGAGAGGUGAGUGGAAUUCCUAGUGUAGAGGUGAAAUUCGUAGAUAUUCGGAAGAACACCAGUGGCGAAGGCGGCUCACUGGACGUGUAUUGACGCUGAGGUACGAAAGCGUGGGGAGCAAACAGGAUUAGAUACCCCGGUAGUCCCUGAGCGGGCUGGCAAGGCGCAU